Molecule: long non-coding RNA, 1605 nt
Filed under: Homo sapiens (human)
Lineage: Eukaryota; Metazoa; Chordata; Mammalia; Primates; Hominidae
Description: HSALNT0333180
Source: RNAcentral
CUCCUGACCUCGUGAUCCACCCUCCUCGGCCUCCCAAAGUGCUGGGAUUACAGGCGUGACCCACUGUGCCCGGUUGAGAUUUCUAUGCCUCUUUACCCUCUCUGCCCUGAAACUUUUUGUAGUACAAAUCAUACAAAGUCAUAAGUGGGGAUGUCACAAUUUACCCCGUCAGGGAAAGCAGACAUUUACAAGUACUUAAAAUAAAAUGAGAAUGUUAUAAGGGAAGAAACUCAUGUGAGGGGACUUGGUUGCUUAAAGAUCAGGAAUGUCUCUGAAGUAAUGACAUCUAAGCUGGGAACUGAAGGAUCACCAGGAAUUAGACCAAUGGGAAUGUGGGUGGGUAUUCCAGGCAGAAAGUAGGAUACAUUUGAAAGUACAGAGGUGAGGCCCUCAGGGAAAGUCGUGGAGCUAAGAGAGAUUUGGACCAUAUGUGGAGAGGAAGAGAGGAAGGACAUGAAGUUAGAGGGUCUAGGGACUUCUCUGCAGGGUGGAUUAAGGGAUCAAGGGACACACAGAGCCAGGGAUACUAAUGAUGUUAGUAGACAGCAAGAGAUCUUGGAAGGAACCUGGGAAGGGGCAGUCAGAAAUGCAGAAUAAAAACCAGAAAUGAGUAAUGACAUACAAGACAACUAGUGAGGGAAAAUUCACUUUGUGAAAAGGGCCAACAAUGUGUCAACUACAGCAAGGAAGUCAAGGCUGAAAAGGCUAAAAAGUGGCUGUGGGAUCAAUUAAUGAAGGCAGCGUUGAGGCCUUGGUGAGCACAGUUGUGAGAGAAGAGGUAGAAACCAAAUCGUAGCAGUGGAAAAACAAAUGAAGCUUGAAGAACAGAAGGUGUUUUAAAGAAAGCUGUCUGUUGGGAAGUGAAGGAAGGUGACGUUCCUACAAAAAGAGAAGUACACCAUAACGUUGGUAUGAGUGAAAUCAUUCAUUUUUCACUGAACGCUUACUUCAUGCUGGGACCUAAGCAACAACUGUGGCGACAAUGGACUUAUUGAGAACGUUGAUUAGAUGACCAAAAGUGCCCGGCCCUUUGCCAAGUGUGAUAGAAAACAGGGAGAAGGUAUCAUCAUCGUUUCACAGAUGCCUACAUUCCAAAGGAUCUCAUCAGAGCAUAAGAGCUCUUCCAGCUGUUGUUUAUCCAUGAAUUAUUAUUGCAAUGCUUAACCGGAGAUAGAAACUCACCAUGAGCGUAUCAACCUUUCCUCUUCAGAAGUUUCACUUCAGUUUGAAAGAAAACGCAACUGGUGAAACAAUUGCUGUGUGUCAUAAAUUAUAGGUAUCUGACAUUCAUUACAAGGAAAGCAACAGUCAAAUAUCAUGGGACUCAUAUUUAUUUAUGUCUAUAUUAUCUGUAGAUAUUAUAGAUAAUAUAUAUGUAUACUUUGACAGAGAAGGAAGAACACCACUCUGGAGUGUUUAAUCUACCAUAGUUUGAUACUGUCUUUCUUGUUUGUGCCAAUUUGAAUUACUUGGUUCUGUUUUUUGGUUAUCUGCAAUUAGUGUGCUAUUUAUUUCCAGAAUAGAGGAAACUGAAGCUUACUCUGUGUACACAAAAGAAUACUGUACCCAUUCAGUCAUGUACAAAUAGAGUUAUCUCAUGGAAAA